GUCUAAAGCCAUAUCAUUCUGAAUACGCCCAGUUAGUCUAGUCUCAGAAGAGAAGCGGAGCUUGGCCUAGUUAGUACUUUGAUGAGAGCUAGUUGUGUAACAGUACAUGCUAUAGUUU
Molecule: ribosomal RNA, 118 nt
Filed under: Notamacropus eugenii (tammar wallaby)
Lineage: Eukaryota; Metazoa; Chordata; Mammalia; Diprotodontia; Macropodidae
Source: RNAcentral